UACGUAGGUGACCAGCGUUGUCCGGAUUUACUGGGCGUAAAGGGCGCGUAGGCGGUCGUGACAAGUCACUUGUGAAAUCUCCGGGCUUAACCCGGAAAGGUCAAGUGAUACUGUCGGACUAGAGUACAGAAGGGGCAACUGGAAUUCUUGGUGUAGCAGUGAAAUGCGUGGAGAUCAAGAGGAACACCUGCGGCGAAGGCGGGUAGCUGGGCCGACACUGACGCUGAGGCGCGAAAGCCAGGGGAGCGAACGGG
Molecule: ribosomal RNA, 254 nt
Filed under: uncultured bacterium
Lineage: Bacteria
Description: partial 16S ribosomal RNA
Rfam family: Bacterial small subunit ribosomal RNA
Source: RNAcentral